This 279-nucleotide ribosomal RNA is filed under the name uncultured bacterium. RNAcentral describes it as "partial 16S ribosomal RNA". It matches the Rfam family "Bacterial small subunit ribosomal RNA", at positions 506 to 784 of the family's 1533-position model. The record is from RNAcentral.
UGCCAGCCGCCGCGGUAAUACGGAGGGUGCAAGCGUUGUUCGGAAUUAUUGGGCGUAAAGCGCGUGUAGGCGGUUCGUUAAGUCUGAUGUGAAAUCCCGGAGCUCAACUCCGGAACUGCCCUUGAAACUAGGUAACUAGAAUACUGGAGAGGUGAGUGGAAUUCCGAGUGUAGAGGUGAAAUUCGUAGAUAUUCGGAGGAACACCAGUGGCGAAGGCGGCUCACUGGCUCGAUACUGACGCUGAGGUGCGAAAGCGUGGGGAGCAAACAGGAUUAGAUA